Molecule: non-coding RNA, 60 nt
Filed under: Bos taurus (domestic cattle)
Lineage: Eukaryota; Metazoa; Chordata; Mammalia; Artiodactyla; Bovidae
Also listed under: 1 other name
Source: miRBase by way of RNAcentral
AAAACAUUCAUUUGAAUUUUUCCAUAACAUCAGAUGGAAAGCCCUGAAUGAACUUUUUGG